CUGGCGCUGCCUAAAAUGCAAGUCGAACGAGGGCUUCGGCCCUAGUGGCGCACGGGUGAGUAACGCGUGGGAACCUGCCCUGUGGUACGGAAUAACUCCGGGAAACUGGAGCUAAUACCGUAUGCGUCCUGCGGGACAAAGAUUUAUCGCCAUGGGAUGGGCCCGCGUAGGAUUAGCUUGUUGGUGGGGUAACGGCCCACCAAGGCUACGAUCCUUAGCUGGUCUGAGAGGAUGAUCAGCCACACUGGGACUGAGACACGGCCCAGACUCCUACGGGAGGCAGCAGUGGGGAAUAUUGGACAAUGGGCGCAAGCCUGAUCCAGCAAUGCCGCGUGAGUGAUGAAGGCCUUCGGGUUGUAAAGCUCUUUCGCACGCGACGAUGAUGACGGUAGCGUGAGAAGAAGCCCCGGCUAACUUCGUGCCAGCAGCCGCGGUAAUACGAAGGGGGCUAGCGUUGUUCGGAAUUACUGGGCGUAAAGGGCGCGUAGGCGGCGUGUCAAGUCAGGCGUGAAAGCCCCGGGCUCAACCUGGGAACCGCGCUUGAGACUGGCAUGCUCGAGUUCGGGAGAGGAUGGUGGAAUUCCCAGUGUAGAGGUGAAAUUCGUAGAUAUUGGGAAGAACA
This 622-nucleotide ribosomal RNA is filed under the name uncultured bacterium. Its description in RNAcentral is "bacterial SSU rRNA". It matches the Rfam family "Bacterial small subunit ribosomal RNA", at positions 36 to 708 of the family's 1533-position model. The record is from RNAcentral.